This 419-nucleotide ribosomal RNA is filed under the name Phycisphaerae bacterium. RNAcentral describes it as "bacterial SSU rRNA". It matches the Rfam family "Bacterial small subunit ribosomal RNA", at positions 1112 to 1533 of the family's 1533-position model. The record is from RNAcentral. Lineage: Bacteria; Pseudomonadati; Planctomycetota; Phycisphaerae.
UAGUUGCCAGCGGGUAAUGCCGGGAACUCUAAGGGGACUGCCGGUGUCAAACCGGAGGAAGGUGGAGAUGACGUCAAGUCCUCAUGGCCUUUAUGCCCAGGGCCACACACGUGCUACAAUGGGAUGGACAAAGCGAACCGAUGCCGCGAGGCGGAGGAAAUCGCACAAAUCAUCCCCCAGUUCAGAUCGGAGGCUGCAACCCGCCUCCGUGAAGUUGGAAUCGCUAGUAAUCGCGGAUCAGCCACGCCGCGGUGAAUGUGUUCCUGAGCCUUGUACACACCGCCCGUCAAGUCAUGGGAGCCGGGAAUGGCCGAAGUCGCCUCACCACAGAGGUGCCUAAGCCAGGCUCGGUGACUGGGACUAAGUCGUAACAAGGUAGCCGUAGGGGAACCUGCGGCUGGAUCACCUCCUUUCUAAGG